This 568-nucleotide ribosomal RNA is filed under the name Penicillium chrysogenum. Its description in RNAcentral is "eukaryotic LSU rRNA". The stretch from base 204 to 356 matches the Rfam family "5.8S ribosomal RNA". Lineage: Eukaryota; Fungi; Ascomycota; Eurotiomycetes; Eurotiales; Aspergillaceae. The record is from RNAcentral.
GUAGGUGAACCUGCGGAAGGAUCAUUACCGAGUGAGGGCCCUCUGGGUCCAACCUCCCACCCGUGUUUAUUUUACCUUGUUGCUUCGGCGGGCCCGCCUUAACUGGCCGCCGGGGGGCUUACGCCCCCGGGCCCGCGCCCGCCGAAGACACCCUCGAACUCUGUCUGAAGAUUGUAGUCUGAGUGAAAAUAUAAAUUAUUUAAAACUUUCAACAACGGAUCUCUUGGUUCCGGCAUCGAUGAAGAACGCAGCGAAAUGCGAUACGUAAUGUGAAUUGCAAAUUCAGUGAAUCAUCGAGUCUUUGAACGCACAUUGCGCCCCCUGGUAUUCCGGGGGGCAUGCCUGUCCGAGCGUCAUUGCUGCCCUCAAGCACGGCUUGUGUGUUGGGCCCCGUCCUCCGAUCCCGGGGGACGGGCCCGAAAGGCAGCGGCGGCACCGCGUCCGGUCCUCGAGCGUAUGGGGCUUUGUCACCCGCUCUGUAGGCCCGGCCGGCGCUUGCCGAUCAACCCAAAUUUUUAUCCAGGUUGACCUCGGAUCAGGUAGGGAUACCCGCUGAACUUAAGCAUAU